CCUGGCUGGGUUCUCCAGACCGACGCAGUCACCACGGUUCCCGGCUCCCGGCCCCCGGGACCUGUUCCUAGCGGAGCAUGGAGGGAAGAACCCAAGACUCUGCAUCUCUAGCAAGUUCUCAGGUGAAGGAGACGCCACUGGUCCAGGGACCACACUUUGCGAAACAUUGUCGUAGGGAACCUGGCUUAAGACAGUUGGUACCAGGAGAAGCAGGCUGGAAGGAGGGAUUCCGGAGUUGGAUGACCUGCCUGAGUUCAUGGAUUGUAGGAGUCAGCAGUAGAAGAAUGCAAGAUGGCUGUCUGUGUGCUAGAGAGCCAGAUCAAACCGGUUGAAAGUUGAAGGUCUGGUGCUCGAUGCAGAGUCCAGUGUGAGUCUGCGUAGGAAAUUCAAAAAGUCUCCUUAUGGAAAGCUGAAGAACCAGCCUGCACUGGAACCCUGAGGGAACUGGAGAUGAAUCUUCAAAGGCAGUGGUGAAAACCAGAGCCCUUCUGAAGGAGAAAAAGGGAAGACUUCCUCCUUUCCAGUUUUAUUCCAUCCAGGCUACCAGCCUAU
This is a long non-coding RNA of Chinchilla lanigera (long-tailed chinchilla), 552 nucleotides long. RefSeq lists it as uncharacterized. The transcript is spliced from 3 exons. The record is from RefSeq and is a predicted model, not a curated record. Lineage: Eukaryota; Metazoa; Chordata; Mammalia; Rodentia; Chinchillidae.